GACUUCCUAAAGAAAGCUAGUGUUCUCAUUGCUCCUGCAAUGGCUGUUGGCACUGGAGGGGUACGAUAUUUGCUAUAUUCAGAGUGCUAUGUUUUGCUCAUAUUAUUAUAGAUUCUAGAUUGGCAUGUUGACAUGUUGAUAACCUUUCUCCUUGCUUACAAGUUACAAGUUGUGGUUAGAGAGCUUGAACUGAAUCAUGAAUGCAAUUUGAUGCACUGAUCGCUAGAGGAUUUCAAAUCUAAAUUAUGAAAUUUUGACAAAUAGCUGACGUCGAAAUUGUGAACUAGUUUUACUUUUUAUUUCACACUUUGCUGCUUUGGUUUUACCCGCUAUAUGUGUUUAGCAUGGUUCUAAGCACCAUCUGGGGGAUCACUUUUUCUCUUUAACAAAAGAGUCCUGUGCUUCUUUCGUAGAGAUGGCCAUAAUUGGAGCAAGAAGAAAGACGGAAGGACUGUUUGGAGAGGCACACGAACGCCUUAAGGUUGGAACUGUCAAAACCUUAAAUUGUUACUCUGCACAUGGAGAGGAGAACCCUACUUUCCAGAGGACAUAUGAGCAUAUUGUUCUUGUGCAUUAUAGAGAAACAAGUGAGGUGACUCUUCAUAACUUGAUUCUGGAUAAACAUGAUAAUAGUACUUUGUCCUAUUGAUAUUUACCUUUAUUUAAAGGUGAAAACUCAGGUGAAGCGACUUUACAUGAAAUUAAUAUCUGAGAGCUGUUGGAUAAAAAUUUAGUCAAAUCAAUUAAAUUAUCUAACGACUCUUAGAUAUCAACUUUAUGUAAAGUUAACUUCACCUGAUUUUCCACCUUAUUUAAAUGGCUCA
Molecule: RNA transcript, 824 nt
Organism: Arachis stenosperma
Lineage: Eukaryota; Viridiplantae; Streptophyta; Magnoliopsida; Fabales; Fabaceae
Gene name: calmodulin-binding transcription activator 4-like
Exons: 6
Source: RefSeq, a predicted model, not a curated record